RNAcentral lists this long non-coding RNA (1118 nucleotides) under Dasypus novemcinctus (nine-banded armadillo). RNAcentral describes it as "lncRNA (ENSDNOG00000051839.1)". Lineage: Eukaryota; Metazoa; Chordata; Mammalia; Cingulata; Dasypodidae. The record is from RNAcentral.
CCUCGACGUAAUCUUAAAGUAGUGACACCCCCCAGAAAGGAAUUUUUGUGUCGAAUCGGUUGGUAAAGAGUUCUUGGCUCUCGCUCACACUUGCCAAGAUCGGAUUACUUUUCACAGCCUGGAGCUGGCCAGGAGGCUGGAGCUGGGCAGGGCUCCAAAGGUGCAGCAGCCACAACAAUCCCGCAGUUCAAAGUUAAGCAGCAGCGGUUGCACAACUUCCAGCAACUCUCACAGCCGGCCACUACAGAGCUGAAAGCCAGGAACCGCAGAGGAGGUGAAGAGGAAAUUUCUCGCCGUCUUUUCGUCCUGGAAAUACAGAUAUCUCCAUCCCCACCCCCAGAUAAAUUUGAGCUAAGGUCCUGUAUUCACUUGCCUUGCAGAUCAUGGCUCCCUUUGGAAGAAACUUGCUCAAGACUCGGCAUAAAAACAGGUAAAGACAAGUGUGUAUGUGUGAAAGAAUGUGUUUCCCUGGAGUUCUGCUAAAAAAAAGAAAAAAAAUAUUUCCCUUGAGGGACAAAGCCAUUAGGAGUUAGGUCUCGCACCAAUAAAUAUUUAGUUGGUAAGGAUAUUGUUCCAGUGUGGAUGAUGGCAGGUGACAAGGGUCACAGAAAAGAAAUAGUUAGGAUUUGUAACUCCUGUGGUCUCUUCUGCCAGACUUGGUUCCACAACUAGCACCACCAAGUCUCUCUGUUGCACUGCACCUUUGAGGGUAGUAGGAUGUCAAGUUUCAUUCUGCUACAGACAGAACAUUAGCAAAUUACAGAAAGGGUUAAAAUGUUGGUGAAGAUAGAGCCAGAAUUUAUAGCCAUUAAUUGGAACGGAAAACACAGCCUGCUGAUAGAAUCCGGAAACAGUGCUUUGGCUCCUCUGAAAGCUGGGCAUUCCUGAAAUCUAUAAAGUACCCAAAGUGAAAAUACUUUGUAGAGGAACUUUGUGUAAACUGAUUCUGUGGAAAAUCGUUCAGGACUUUAAACGUUUUAAACAUUAAAUGAGGACUCAACAGCUGUCCUCCUUUAUCUUUAUGAUUAUUGUUUUACUUUGAUUUCAUUUGCUAUUUCAAGCCUGUAACAUCUAUAGUAUAUUCAAAACACCCCCCCACACACAGUUUUGAGCCAGGA